RNAcentral lists this ribosomal RNA (484 nucleotides) under uncultured bacterium. RNAcentral's name for it is "partial 16S ribosomal RNA". It matches the Rfam family "Bacterial small subunit ribosomal RNA", at positions 30 to 507 of the family's 1533-position model. The record is from RNAcentral.
AUUGAACGCUGGCGGCAGGCCUAACACAUGCAAGUCGAGCGGAUGAAGGGAGCUUGCUCCUGGAUUCAGCGGCGGACGGGUGAGUAAUGCCUAGGAAUCUGCCUGGUAUUGGGUGGUAACGUCCGGAAACGGGCGCUAAUACCGCAUACGUCCUGAGGGUGAAAGUUGGGGAUCUUCGGACCUCACGCUAUCAGAUGGGCCUAGGUCGGAUUAGCUAGUUGGUGGGGUAAAGGCCUACCAAGGCGACGAUCCGUAACUGGUCUGAGAGGAUGAUCAGUCACACUGGAACUGAGACACGGUCCAGACUCCUACGGGAGGCAGCAGUGGGGAAUAUUGGACAAUGGGCGAAAGCCUGAUCCAGCCAUGCCGCGUGUGUGAAGAAGGUCUUCGGAUUGUAAAGCACUUUAAGUUGGGAGGAAGGGCAGUAAGUUAAUACCUUGCUGUUUUGACGGUACCAACAGAAUAAGCACCGGCUAACUACGUG